Molecule: ribosomal RNA, 905 nt
Filed under: human gut metagenome
Description: bacterial SSU rRNA
Rfam family: Bacterial small subunit ribosomal RNA
Source: RNAcentral
AGAGUUUGAUCCUGGCUCAGAUUGAACGCUGGCGGCAUGCCUUACACAUGCAAGUCGAACGGCAGCAUGGAGAGCUUGCUCUCUGAUGGCGAGUGGCGAACGGGUGAGUAAUACAUCGGAACGUGUCCGUUUGUGGGGGACAACCGUCCGAAAGGAUGGCUAAUACCGCAUAAGACCUGAGGGUGAAAGCCGGGGACCGCAAGGCCCGGCGCAGACGGAGCGGCCGAUGAUUGAUUAGCUAGUUGGGGAGGUAAAGGCUCACCAAGGCGACGAUCAAUAGCUGGUCUGAGAGGACGACCAGCCACACUGGAACUGAGACACGGUCCAGACUCCUACGGGAGGCAGCAGUGGGGAAUUUUGGACAAUGGGGGCAACCCUGAUCCAGCCAUGCCGCGUGCGGGAAGAAGGCCUUCGGGUUGUAAACCGCUUUUGUCAGGGACGAAAAGCUCCGGAGUAAUAUGCCGGAGUGCUGACGGUACCUGAAGAAUAAGCACCGGCUAACUACGUGCCAGCAGCCGCGGUAAUACGUAGGGUGCGAGCGUUAAUCGGAAUUACUGGGCGUAAAGCGUGCGCAGGCGGUUGGGUAAGACAGAUGUGAAAUCCCCGGGCUUAACCUGGGAACUGCAUUUGUGACUGUCCGACUGGAGUACGUCAGAGGGGGGUGGAAUUCCACGUGUAGCAGUGAAAUGCGUAGAUAUGUGGAAGAACACCGAUGGCGAAGGCAGCCCCCUGGGACGCAACUGACGCUCAUGCACGAAAGCGUGGGGAGCAAACAGGAUUAGAUACCCUGGUAGUCCACGCCCUAAACGAUGUCUGCUGGUUGUUGGGAAUUUAAUUCUCAGUAACGAAGCCAACGCGUGAAGCAGACCGCCUGGGGAGUACGGUCGCAAGAUUAAAACUCAAAG